Molecule: long non-coding RNA, 210 nt
Filed under: Elaeis guineensis (African oil palm)
Lineage: Eukaryota; Viridiplantae; Streptophyta; Magnoliopsida; Arecales; Arecaceae
Description: long non-coding RNA (EGUI_LNC080660)
Source: RNAcentral
GGCGAUGAAGUCGGCUAGGGCUUGGGCCUUCAAGGAAGGUCGUGGUUGGUACUGUAUGUCGAACUCGCUGAGCUUCAUCGCCCACUUCACCAGUCGUCCCGACGUAUUCGGUCGGCGCAAUAUCGCCCUAAGGGGCUAGUUGGUGAGAACCACAAUAGCAUGCGCCUAAAAGUAUGGACGGAGUCGUUGUGCGGAGAUGGUCAGGGCGAA